UGAGGAAUAUUGGUCAAUGGGCGAGAGCCUGAACCAGCCAAGUAGCGUGCAGGAUGACGGCCCUAUGGGUUGUAAACUGCUUUUAUGUGGGGAUAAAGUGCGUGACGUGUCAUGCAUUGCAGGUACCACAUGAAUAAGGACCGGCUAAUUCCGUGCCAGCAGCCGCGGUAAUACGGAAGGUCCGGGCGUUAUCCGGAUUUAUUGGGUUUAAAGGGAGCGUAGGCUGUCUAUUAAGCGUGUUGUGAAAUUUACCGGCUCAACCGGUGGCUUGCAGCGCGAACUGGUCGAAUUGAGUAUGCAGGAAGUAGGCGGAAUUCAUGGUGUAGCGGUGAAAUGCUUAGAUAUCAUGACGAACUCCGAUUGCGCAGGCAGCUUACUGUAGCAUAACUGACGCUGAUGCUCGAAAGUGCGGGUAUCAAACAGG
Molecule: ribosomal RNA, 424 nt
Filed under: Fusobacteriota bacterium
Lineage: Bacteria; Fusobacteriati; Fusobacteriota
Description: Fusobacteria bacterium partial 16S ribosomal RNA
Rfam family: Bacterial small subunit ribosomal RNA
Source: RNAcentral